UAAACUAGUAGCGCAUAGUUUUGAGUCCUUAGUUAUAUUUAAGUUAACUAUUUUAUGUUGUUAAAGAUAAGAAGCUCGUAAUUUAAUUAAUAUCGAUUCGAUUUUAUUUAAAUUUUAGCCGGAUUUGAUAAUUGACUCAAUUUGGUCAACUUUUGUUUGUGGCUAUAAUUGCAAUUCAACAUCCAUGUAUGUAAUUGCAAAAUUAGGCCACCUGUCGGACCCAAUUUUAAUCCAAAACCUUCGCACUAAUUCCUAGAAAAUCCCUCAUUCCCUUUUCCCUGUAACCCAGCCCAACCCAACAAUUUCAUUUACCCAACCCAGUUUAAUCCUUUAACCCGGCCCAGAUAUUUGUCUUCUUCCCAAAGGAGCAGAACGUACGAUAGCCAGAUCAACGAAAAAUCCCAAAACACGUCCAAUUUCAGCGCGUCAACGACGACGCUCAACAAUCCAAAUCACCGCCCCUACAGGCGGAACUUUGCGAUUCUUUGUCCCUUACGCAAUAACCCUUUCUCGUCUGUUCUCACAGCAGCAGAACAGGGCACGCGAAAUCAUCUUUGGGGAGGUGAGAUCGAUCCACAUCUCCCCGAGGACGAUUGAGUCAAUCAAACCCAUUCAUUCCCCUUUCCUCUUCUAGUUUGAAGUUGGACUCUCAGAAAGUUUUUUCGUCCAAAAAGGGAAAGGGUUUUGAAGUUUGGAGUAGGUUAUGGGAUUCUCGAUUUUGCCCCGAAUUUCUCCAAGAUUCACCGGUUUAUCCUUCAAAAUUGUGACCUAAUUCCCCUUCUAUUUAAACAUCUCUUCCGGCUCAUUCAAAGGGGAGAAAAAUUUUAUGUGGAGGACAAGAAAAGAUUUCUGCGUUAAGUUUUAGUCUUCUGAGAAUUUCUUGCUCAACAAAAAUAGAAAGAUUUUGGAAAAAAAAUAGAGUUGGAAAGGAGACAGUAGCAAAUAAAAAAUAACAGAAAGGAAAUGGCUGUACGCAUAUAAAAAUGUAUACAAGAUAAUAAAAGAAGAUAGAGACUUGAAAUUUGAACUUUCAUAUCUGUUUUUCAUUUUCUGUUCACUGAAGCUAGUUGACAUUUCAGUCGUGGUGAAGGUCGUCGUUCAACUCGUAUGUCCCAGUCGCUGCCCGGGAAAAGGAUGAAUCCGACACACGAAACUUUUAAAACAAGAAUGGCUACCGUCCCUGAUCCCUUCCUUAAAGUAUGGUGGAGCUUCAUGAACAAUGACGAUAAAAUAAUCAUUCAGAAACACAUAGGUUACCUCUUGUCAAUGCUAGAGAUGAAUGUUUGGCCUGACCUAAUUAGAAACAAUGGUGAAAUUUUGGGAUAGCGAGCAUAUGGUCUUUCGAUUUAGGGAAGUGAAGUUGACGCCAACAAUAGUAGAAGUCCUCACGAGUUACAAAAGUGUAUCCAUGUGCAACAAUAGGAAACGAAAUCCAAAUACAGAUCUCCUAAAUCCUAUAAUAUGGGAUUUCGCCAAAAGAGAAAAACUGUCAUAGGUUAAAAACGAGUGUAUGGACAAUAUCCCCAGCCCAAAUAUACCUUUAAGAAAACUAUAUUAUCGCUUGUGAGAAAUAUAAAGAGGAUUUCAUUUCAAAAGAAAAAUGGAAAGCACCAAGUCCCCUCGCAUUUACAAUAUGUUUACUCGGAACGAUGGUUUUCCCUCAAGGGCCAAAAUACACUAUUCAUCGCACCAUUUUUAUGGUCACUCAUGCCAUCUUUUACGGAGUGGACUAUAAAUCAUCAAUAAAGUACUACACUUUAGGGCCUAUGAUUUUUGCCGACAUCUAUAGUAUUUUACACAAAUGUCAAAGUGGAGAACGCUUCUUUCAAGGGUGUAAUCUGAUACUACAGUGGUGGAUGAUGAGACAUUUGAUCAAGAAUCAUAAUCCAAAAGAACCAGAUCCCCUAAAGUGGUCAUACAAUCUACAUGGUCAUGAUUGGUAGUCAGAUCUAUAACCGACGGAGUCUGAGAAGGUGUAGAUGGAUGGUUCUGAGUUGGAUCCAUAUUUGAAGAAGGGAAGUAGAUAUGAGGUCUCCCAUCAGCAGCGUUAGAAGCAAAUCCUGGGGGAGGCAGAUCCUGUCUCCUUUGCAUUUCAACUCUCAUUUUUUACAAUUUGCAGCAUCAAUUGCAAAAUCAAUUCAUUCUGGUCCGUUAUUAUUUUAAAAUUUAUUUAGAAGGUCAUUUUUGUCAAAUCACCGGUCAACUGCGAGUUAGUGGGCAUUUCGAGGGCCUAACACCUUAUCAGAAUGUAUAUUUGAACUUCAAACGCUUUUCAACUGA
This is a long non-coding RNA of Solanum lycopersicum (tomato), 2280 nucleotides long. RefSeq lists it as uncharacterized. The record is from RefSeq and is a predicted model, not a curated record. Lineage: Eukaryota; Viridiplantae; Streptophyta; Magnoliopsida; Solanales; Solanaceae.